RNAcentral lists this ribosomal RNA (411 nucleotides) under uncultured bacterium. RNAcentral's name for it is "bacterial SSU rRNA". It matches the Rfam family "Bacterial small subunit ribosomal RNA", at positions 917 to 1344 of the family's 1533-position model. The record is from RNAcentral.
GGGCCCGCACAAGCGGUGGAGCAUGUGGUUUAAUUCGAUGCAACGCGAAGAACCUUACCAGGGUUUGCAUGCCACUAUUUAACUAGGUACUUGUGAAAGCAGGUUUUGGUGCACAAGUGGUGCAUGGCUGUCGUCAGCUCGUGUCGUGAGAUGUUGGGUUAAGUCCCGCAACGAGCGCAACCCUUAUAUCUUGUUGUGAUUCCAGAUCAAGAAAAACUGCCGGUGACAAACCGGAGGAAGGUGAGGAUGACGUCAAGUCCUCAUGGCCCUUAUGUGUUGGGCUACACACGUGCUACAAUGGCACUCACAAUGGGAUGCAAAGAGGCGACUCUUAGCCAAUCCCUAAAAUGUGCCUCAGUUCGGAUUGUACUCUGUAACUCGAGUGCAUGAAGUUGGAAUCGCUAGUAAUCG